CUUUAGUGGCGAACGGGUGCGUAAUACGUGAGAAUCUGCCCUUAGGAGAAGAAUAACUGCUGGAAACGGCUGCUAAAUCUUCAUAUGUCGAGAGAUGAAAUAGCUUAGGCUGCCUAAGGAUGAGCUCACGCCUGACUAGCUAGUUGGUGAGGUAAUGGCUCACCAAGGCCACGAUCAGUAGCUGGUUUGAGAGAACGAUCAGCCACACUGGGACUGAGACACGGCCCAGACUCCUCCGGGAGGCAGCAGUGAGGAACUUUCCGCAAUGGGCGAAAGCCUGACGGAGCAAUACCGCGUGAGGGAUGAAGGAUUUUGGUCUGUAAACCUCUUUUCUCAAGAAAGAAGUUCUGACGGUACUUGAGGAAUAAGCAUCGGCUAACUCCGUGCCAGCAGCCGCGGUAAUACGGGGGAUGCAAGCGUUAUCCGGAAUCAUUGGGCGUAAAGCGCCUGUAGGUUGUUUAAUAAGUCUGUUGUUAAAGAUUAGGGCUUAACCCUAGAAAAGCAAUGGAAACUACUAGACUA
This 522-nucleotide ribosomal RNA is filed under the name uncultured Chrysochromulina. RNAcentral describes it as "bacterial SSU rRNA". It matches the Rfam family "Bacterial small subunit ribosomal RNA", at positions 90 to 643 of the family's 1533-position model. The record is from RNAcentral. Lineage: Eukaryota; Haptophyta; Prymnesiales; Chrysochromulinaceae.